RNAcentral lists this ribosomal RNA (253 nucleotides) under uncultured bacterium. Its description in RNAcentral is "partial 16S ribosomal RNA". It matches the Rfam family "Bacterial small subunit ribosomal RNA", at positions 524 to 776 of the family's 1533-position model. The record is from RNAcentral.
UACGUAGGGUGCGAGCGUUAAUCGGAAUUACUGGGCGUAAAGCGUGCGCAGGCGGUUUUGUAAGCCAGAUGUGAAAUCCCCGGGCUUAACCUGGGAAUGGCAUUUGGGACUGCAAGGCUGGAGUGUGGCAGAGGAGACUGGAAUUCCUGGUGUAGCAGUGAAAUGCGUAGAUAUCAGGAGGAAUACCGAUGGCGAAGGCGGCUCACUGGCCCGGUACUGACGCUGAGGCACGAAAGCGUGGGGAGCAAACAGG